This 442-nucleotide ribosomal RNA is filed under the name uncultured bacterium. Its description in RNAcentral is "SSU rRNA". It matches the Rfam family "Bacterial small subunit ribosomal RNA", at positions 26 to 518 of the family's 1533-position model. The record is from RNAcentral.
AGAGCGAACGCUGGCGGCAGGCUUAACACAUGCAAGUCGAGCGCCCCGCAAGGGGAGCGGCAGACGGGAGAGUAACACGUGGGAACGUACCUUUCGGUUCGGAACAACCCAGGGAAACUUGGGCUAAUACCGGAUACGCCCGUAAGGGGAAAGAUUUAUCGCCGGAAGAUCGGCCCGCGUCUGAUUAGCUAGUUGGUGAGGUAACGGCUCACCAAGGCGACGAUCAGUAGCUGGUCUGAGAGGAUGAUCAGCCUCACUGGGACUGAGACACGGCCCAGACUCCUACGGGAGGCAGCAGUGGGGAAUAUUGGACAAUGGGCGCAAGCCUGAUCCAGCCAUGCCGCGUGGGUGAUGAAGGCCCUAGGGUUGUAAAGCCCUUUCGGCGGGAAGAUAAUGACGGUACCCGCAGAAGAAGCCCCGGCUAACUUCGUGCCACAGCCGC